RNAcentral lists this unclassified non-coding RNA (1692 nucleotides) under Hevea brasiliensis (rubber tree). The record is from RNAcentral. Lineage: Eukaryota; Viridiplantae; Streptophyta; Magnoliopsida; Malpighiales; Euphorbiaceae.
GUCAACUACCCCAUUUGAAAACCCUUUCAACAAAGGAGCGAUCAUUUUGAAAUUUUCUCCCUGAUAUCUACAAACACUAUCAUCACCGUACCACAAACGUUCUCUGAUGGGUAAGCCCAUAACUCGAUCCCACUCUCGUUCUAUAGUCGAACCCUCUUCCACUCUACAAUCCGCCGCCGCCGCCAAUACUUCUUUAAACCCCUCUUCUUCUUCCUCCUCCAAAAUCCCAUAUCGGCCCCGGAAAAUCCGAAAACUUUCAACCACCAAUAAAAUAAUUGCAGCCGCUGCCGCCGCCGCCGCCACAGCCACUACCAACUCCUUUCCCCUGUCCACUGUUAAACCAUUAUCGGUCAAAGGCGAGAUUGACCUGGCUCUUGAACAUUUACGCAAGUCAGAUCCCCUUCUCUCAACUCUAAUUGACACCAAUAAGCCACCUACAUUCGAUUCUCAAAGCCCACCAUUUUUAUCUCUAGCAAGAAGCAUUCUUUAUCAACAACUCGCCCCUAAUGCCGCCAAAUCAAUCUACACUAGAUUCCUCACCCUCUGUGGUGGCGAAGCGGGGGUCCUGCCGGAGAAUGUUCUAUCGCUAUCUGCCCUUCAGCUCCGAGAAAUUGGAAUUUCGGGUCGAAAAGCGAGCUACCUGCAUGACCUAGCAGACAAGUUCAGAAACGGGUCUUUAUCAGAUUCGUCGAUUCUUGAAAUGAAUGAUGAUACGCUUUUAACUAGCCUGACUGCGGUUAAGGGAAUUGGGGUUUGGUCUGUGCACAUGUUUAUGAUAUUUUCGCUGCAUAGGCCUGAUGUUUUGCCGGUGGGUGAUCUUGGUGUGAGGAAAGGAGUACAGAAUUUGUAUGGGCUUAAGGAGUUGCCGCAGCCAUUGCAAAUGGAGCAAGUUUGUGAGAAGUGGAGGCCUUAUAGGUCUGUUGGGUCGUGGUAUAUGUGGAGGUUAAUGGAAACCAAGGCAUUGGCUAAAGUGACUAAAAAGUCGUAGUGCCUUCCAAACGCUGAAGCUGUAAAAAUCAGGUACUCUUGUGAGCUUUAAAGGCCUGAUUCUUGUACUGAUUAGUGAUGAUCAUCUUUAUAAUUUCUAAAAUUUGACAUUUCCAGCUUCACUCUUUCUCCUUGUACGCAUGUGGAUUCACUUCACUGUUCUAUGUCUGUUUAAAUGGAAUAGUAAAUCCUUCUAUUUACAUUUGUUACCUGACAGUUGGCACUCUUGAAUUAUGAAAUUUUCCUUCCAGAGCUAUUUGUUGUGUAAAGUUUAUAUUUAUGCUAAACAAAUGAAUUCUGUUUCUGGGUUAUCACAUUAUGUUGAAAACUCUACCAAAUGAAGCAAUGCCUGAAGCAUAUUAUUGACCUUGUGAGUUGUGAAGCAUUCUUGCGUAAUGAAGUGUCUGUAUGUGGAGUUUUUUCUAUUGGCAAAUAAAAUCAAAUUUAAGUACAGUGGUGUCACGAUUUGGUUCAAUCUACAGGUGCAAACCAGUUAUUGGGAGGUCUUUUUCCCAACUUUAUGAUAAGAUUUAGUCAGGUUUGAUUGCAUAUUUUCUAUCUGAAUGUCAGUUGUAUAAGACUAUUGUAUUGGAAUUAUAUUACAGCCAUUUAAGUUACAUAAGAAGGCGUGUACAAGGUAUUGAUGGAAUGGAACUCAUGAAACAUACUAAGAGUUCGGGAGUUGAAACAUUCUCAAGAAAUGCU